CAUCUGUGAAAAUUAAAUCCUAAAUUUUGAAUGAUGCAGAGAAGAUUAGCAUGACCACAGUGUAAGGAUGACAUGCAAUUUUGUGAAGCAUUCCAUAUAUAU
RNAcentral lists this small nuclear RNA (102 nucleotides) under Dasypus novemcinctus (nine-banded armadillo). The record is from RNAcentral. Lineage: Eukaryota; Metazoa; Chordata; Mammalia; Cingulata; Dasypodidae.